GGGGAUUUAGCUCAGCGGUAGAGCACUUGCCUAGCGAGCGAGCGCAAGGCCCUGGGUUCGGUCCCCAGCUCCG
RNAcentral lists this transfer RNA (73 nucleotides) under Rattus norvegicus (Norway rat). It matches the Rfam family "tRNA". Rfam says of the family: Transfer RNA (tRNA) molecules are approximately 80 nucleotides in length. Their secondary structure includes four short double-helical elements and three loops (D, anti-codon, and T loops). Further hydrogen bonds mediate the characteristic L-shaped molecular structure. tRNAs have two regions of fundamental functional importance: the anti-codon, which is responsible for specific mRNA codon recognition, and the 3' end, to which the tRNAs corresponding amino acid is attached (by aminoacyl-tRNA synthetases). tRNAs cope with the degeneracy of the genetic code in two manners: having more than one tRNA (with a specific anti-codon) for a particular amino acid; and 'wobble' base-pairing, i.e. permitting non-standard base-pairing at the 3rd anti-codon position. The record is from Rfam by way of RNAcentral. Lineage: Eukaryota; Metazoa; Chordata; Mammalia; Rodentia; Muridae.